RNAcentral lists this ribosomal RNA (625 nucleotides) under uncultured bacterium. Its description in RNAcentral is "bacterial SSU rRNA". The stretch from base 1 to 529 matches the Rfam family "Bacterial small subunit ribosomal RNA", at positions 338 to 873 of the family's 1533-position model. The record is from RNAcentral.
CCUACGGGAGGCAGCAGUAGGGAAUAUUGGGCAAUGGAGGCAACUCUGACCCAGCCAUGCCGCGUGCAGGAUGAAGGCGUUAUGCGUUGUAAACUGCUUUUAUAUAGGAAGAAAGAGUUCUUGCGAGAACAGUUGACGGUACUAUAUGAAUAAGCACCGGCUAACUCCGUGCCAGCAGCCGCGGUAAUACGGAGGGUGCAAGCGUUGUCCGGAUUUAUGGGUUUAAAGGGUGCGUAGGCGGUUUAUUAAGUCAGUGGUGAAAGACGGUCGCUCAACGAUUGCAGUGCCAUUGAUACUGGUAGACUUGAGUGAGAUUGAGGUAGCUGGAAUGGAUAGUGUAGCGGUGAAAUGCAUAGAUAUUAUCCAGAACACCAAUUGCGUAGGCAAGUUACUAAGUCUCAACUGACGCUGAGGCACGAAAGUGUGGGUAUCAAACAGGAUUAGAUACCCUGGUAGUCCACACUGUAAACGNUGAUAACUACUGUGUCUUUCGGUCUAGUGUAGAGAGAAGUACGUUAAGUUAGUUACCGUAACCGUGGGUAGGUUACGCCGGUCGACGGUUAGUAACGUUACGAAGGAAGUUAGACGGCGNGAGACGNGCGACGGACGACGACGAGGGAGGAGG